UACGUAGGUGGCGAGCGUUGUCCGGAAUUACUGGGCGUAAAGGGCGCGUAGGCGGCUCUUUAAGUCAGAUGUGAAAACCCGAGGCUUAACUUCGGGAGUGCAUUUGAAACUGGAGAGCUUGAGUGCAGGAGAGGUAAGUGGAAUUCCUAGUGUAGCGGUGAAAUGCGUAGAUAUUAGGAGGAACACCAGUGGCGAAGGCGACCUACUGGACUGUAACUGACGCUGAGGCGCGAAAGCGUGGGGAGCAAACAGGAUUAGAUACCCUGGUAGUCCACGCUGUAAACGAUGGAUACUAGGUGUGGGAGGUAUCGACCCCUUCCGUGCCGCAGUUAACGCAAUAAGUAUCCCGCCUGGGGAGUACGGCCGCAAGGUUGAA
RNAcentral lists this ribosomal RNA (376 nucleotides) under uncultured bacterium. RNAcentral describes it as "bacterial SSU rRNA". It matches the Rfam family "Bacterial small subunit ribosomal RNA", at positions 524 to 898 of the family's 1533-position model. The record is from RNAcentral.